Arachis ipaensis is the source of this 226-nucleotide non-coding RNA. NCBI's taxonomy places the organism in Eukaryota, Viridiplantae, Streptophyta, Magnoliopsida, Fabales, Fabaceae. The record is from RefSeq and is a predicted model, not a curated record.
ACUUACUCAGUUACUCACUACCUAACCUUAAUUCAAUCUUUCCUUUAACACCAAAAUUGAACUUUUUCAUGAAUUUGAUUGGAUCAAUAAUCAAUCAAUCUAAGAUAGUUGUAAAGCACAAAAAACAUGAGAUCUAUUUUAAGUCUUCAGAGUAAUCAUAAACUCCAAGAAAACUCACCAAUACACCUUGAAAUGGAGCUACUACUGUAAGAUCCCAAAUUUUUAA